GCUGGGACAGCUCAGUCGAUAGAGCAGGAGGCUCUUAAUCUCAGGGCUGUGGGUUUGAGUCUCAUAUUGGGCA
Podarcis lilfordi (Lilford's wall lizard) is the source of this 73-nucleotide non-coding RNA. The record is from the annotation of a GenBank genome assembly. Lineage: Eukaryota; Metazoa; Chordata; Lepidosauria; Squamata; Lacertidae.